UUGGAGGGCAAGUCUGGUGCCAGCAGCCGCGGUAAUUCCAGCUCCAAUAGCGUAUAUUAAAGUUGUUGCAGUUAAAAAGCUCGUAGUUGAAUUUCGGGAUCAAUUUGUUGGUCGUGCCUCGGUACGUACUGGUAUUAUUGGUUUCUACCUUCUGAAGAACCUUGAUGUCAUUAAUUUGGUGUCUUGGGGAAUCAGGACUGUUACUUUGAAAAAAUUAGAGUGUUUAAAGCAGGCAUACGCUUGAAUACAUUAGCAUGGAAUAAUGAAAUAGGACGUUUGAUUCUAUUUUGUUGGUUUCUAGGAUCGACGUAAUGAUUAAUAGGGAUAGUUGGGGGCAUUAGUAUUCAAUUGUCAGAGGUGAAAUUCUUGGAUUUAUUGAAGACUAACUACUGCGAAAGCAUUUGCCAAGGAUGUUUUCAUUAAUCAAGAACGAAAGUUAGGGGAUCGAAGACGAUCAGAUACCGUCGUAGUCUUAACCAUAAACUAUGCCGACUAGGGAUCGGAUGAUGUUAUUUUUAAUGACUCAUUCGGCGCCUUACGGGAAACCAAAGUGUUUGGGUUC
RNAcentral lists this ribosomal RNA (562 nucleotides) under uncultured Glomus. RNAcentral's name for it is "SSU rRNA". It matches the Rfam family "Eukaryotic small subunit ribosomal RNA", at positions 548 to 1114 of the family's 1831-position model. The record is from RNAcentral. Lineage: Eukaryota; Fungi; Glomeromycota; Glomeromycetes; Glomerales; Glomeraceae.